RNAcentral lists this ribosomal RNA (465 nucleotides) under Vreelandella stevensii. Its description in RNAcentral is "partial 16S ribosomal RNA". It matches the Rfam family "Bacterial small subunit ribosomal RNA", at positions 338 to 795 of the family's 1533-position model. Lineage: Bacteria; Pseudomonadati; Pseudomonadota; Gammaproteobacteria; Oceanospirillales; Halomonadaceae. The record is from RNAcentral.
CCUACGGGAGGCAGCAGUGGGGAAUAUUGGACAAUGGGGGCAACCCUGAUCCAGCCAUGCCGCGUGUGUGAAGAAGGCCCUCGGGUUGUAAAGCACUUUCAGUGAGGAAGAACGCCUGGUGGUUAAUACCCAUCAGGAAAGACAUCACUCACAGAAGAAGCACCGGCUAACUCCGUGCCAGCAGCCGCGGUAAUACGGAGGGUGCGAGCGUUAAUCGGAAUUACUGGGCGUAAAGCGCGCGUAGGUGGCUUGAUAAGCCGGUUGUGAAAGCCCCGGGCUCAACCUGGGAACGGCAUCCGGAACUGUCAAGCUAGAGUGCAGGAGAGGAAGGUAGAAUUCCCGGUGUAGCGGUGAAAUGCGUAGAGAUCGGGAGGAAUACCAGUGGCGAAGGCGGCCUUCUGGACUGACACUGACACGGAGGUGCGAAAGCGUGGGUAGCAAACAGGAUUAGAUACCCCGGUAGUC